RNAcentral lists this unclassified non-coding RNA (3506 nucleotides) under Dermacentor andersoni. RNAcentral's name for it is "palmitoyltransferase ZDHHC17-like". The record is from RNAcentral. Lineage: Eukaryota; Metazoa; Arthropoda; Arachnida; Ixodida; Ixodidae.
GUUUGACACAAAGAAUGUAAACAAGUAUUGUUUUUAACUCGGCACAUAAUAUUAAGCAUUUACUUUAUUUGUGUGGCGUAACUAGUUUGACGCUCGACAACUACAGCGUUCAAAGAUAAACAAAAAAGAACGGUCGGCUAUCAUGGACGACGAGGUAGAUCCGUCGUGCGCUCCGGUUUAUUACACUGCAACUGCGGGGCAGGUUCCAUGCGGUGGCGGAUCGUCCACCAAUGGUGGCGGGGAUGCUAGCUGCCGGCAGCAACCACCUCACACUUCCUUGCCUCAACAUCAAGAAGAUUAUUCAUCGUUUGACAUCGUCAAGGCUACACAAUAUGGAAUCUUCGAGAGGUGCCGCUACCUGAUUGAGGUAGAAGGCUACAACGUGAACCAGCCUGAUGCGGAGGAUGUCACAUUGCUGCACUGGGCAGCCAUCAACAACCGCCGUGAGAUUGUCAACUUCUACAUUUCGAAGGGAGCUGUGGUGGAUGCCAUAGGUGGAGAACUGCGCUCCACGCCGUUGCAUUGGGCCACUCGGCAGGGCCACUUGGGCAUGGUGGUGCUGCUCAUGCGCCACGGUGCAGACCCGUCCCUGGUGGACGGUGAAGGCUGCACCUGCAUCCACUUGGGUGCCCAGUCGGGCCACACGGCCAUCGUGGCCUACCUGGUGGCCAAGGGGCAGCCAGUCAACCAGGCCGACAGCAACGGCAUGACUCCCCUCAUGUGGUCCGCCUACAGGGUGAUGACGAACGACCCGUCCCGCUUGCUCAUCACACUGGGUGCGAGCCUCACCAUGUGCGACACCUACCACAGGAACACACCCUUGCACUGGGCUGUGUAUGUGCGCAAUAGCAGUGCGGUGUCGUUGCUCAUCAAGGCCGGCUCUGAUCUCUCUGCCAGGAAUGCCCAGGGUGACACUCCCCGCAUGAUGGCUGAGAAGCUGAAGUCUGUCUGGAUAGAAGAGCGCCUCUUGGAGGCGGAAGCAGCUCAAACAAGUGCUCGAGGUCAUUUCCUGGUGCGCAUUGUUCGAGACAAGACUCUAAAGUAUUGGGCCAUGUUCACCUCUCCAUUUGUAGCCUUCUAUGCUGUUGGCCUCGUCUUCGAUAGCCAAGAGACCUAUCUAGUCAAGUUUGGUCUUCUAUUUAUUAUGGGCCUAGCCACCAUGUUCCUUUCCAAAUGUUUAUUUGAUGAACGCACUAUGAAUGUUCUCCCGAUGGCUGUGUACCUGGCUACUAAAUUCUGGAUGUAUAUCACGUGGAUGACAGACCUGUGGCCUUAUGUUGGCACCCUUUGGGUCAAUGUGGGCUUUGUGAUCUCAUCUGUGCCACUGUUCUACUCUUUCUACAAGUCGUGGCGGGCAGAUCCAGGCAUCAUCAUCGCCAACGUGGAACAAAAGUACAGGACGAUAGUGGAGCUGGCCGAGCGAGAUGGCUUCGACCCGGCCGUGUUCUGCAGCACCUGCCUUGUGCGUCGGCCACUACGCUCCAAGCAUUGUUCUGUGUGCAACCACUGUGUGGCUCGCUUCGACCACCACUGCCCUUGGGUCAACAACUGUGUUGGGGCUGGGAACCAUGUUUACUUUGUCAACUAUUUAAUUUUCCUUCUGGGCAUGCUAGGCUGGUCAUGGUACGGCUGCUUUGCAUUCUGGAAGGAGCACACACUCUGGGCUGCCCUGUCCCAGAGUGGUUGGGUGGCCUGGAUAGCAUUCAACACGCUCCUGCACAGCGCUUGGGUCAGCUGCCUGCUCGUCUGCCAGCUGUACCAGAUGGUGUGGUUAGCCAUGACCACCAAUGAACGCAUGAACUGCAACCGGUAUCCACACUUCAGGCGGAGCAGUUCGGGACGUGUAAUUAGCCCAUUCAACAUGGGACCAUUCAAGAACUUGGCUGACUUUUGUGAAUGGCGCUGCCUGGGAGCAAAACCUCAGGACUGGAGACACAUCUACGACACUAAUGAGGAUGAUGAUGAAAAGGAAACACUGCUUCAUUAUGUGUAAUGAACGAGUCAGCUCAGCCUUGUCAAAAACUUCCUGUAUUUCACCUGCACAAAAGUUUCUGCUGCUUAUGGCCCACUCAUAUCUGCCAGAAGGGACAACUCUUGAAAAAGGAGAGCAAGAUGGUGGCAUUGUUUAGGCAUCUGUGAUCAAAGCUGCAAUGAAACCUGGAAGGACUCUACCAGUGUGUGUGACCCUGUGCCUCACCGACAAGGUUUUGGUGGUGUGGACAAAAACAAGCUUCGUCUUUGCGUUCAAAUGUGAUCAGCAGCAUUUUGGAUUUUGCCUGUGGCUUCCUUCUUUGUAGGGCUGAGCUGGACUUUGUUUUCUGUUUCUAAGCACAUCUUUGUUAAAUUUAAGACAUAUUCAAGGAAAUUGAGCAAAGUUGGCAUUGUCAACGUGUGGAAAAAAAGUUUUGAUGGUUGUAUAGCAGUUUCAUUGUGUAUAUAGUAGAGCAAAAGGUGCAGCUUCAUUUUUCAAUAUUGCUUGUUGGAUAGUUGGAGGGUUAUCAUUGUGUGAAAGUAUAUGUGCUUGUCAUCACUGGCAACAGCCUGGUGCUUUCAUUUGGCCUCGCUUUAUCAAAGGAAAAGUUUCAUGUUUAUUUGAGAAUGAGUAUUCUAUUGAUAGCUAUGUUAAACUAUGCAAUGAAGGGUGAAAUGAUUGACCACUUUGUUGUUGUGAGAGAAGCUGUUUAUAUUGUUUCAUGUGGUGUUUUUCAAAAUAUGUUUUCUCAUUUUUAGUGACCCGAUUCUGCGAGAAAUUGGCAAGAUUCUGGCACAUUCCUUACUGUAGCUCACAAUGUGGUAGUGUAUUAACGUGAACAUAAUGAAAGCAUUUAUAAAUAUGCCUAAUUAGCAUACUUGUAUCGAGCUGAACCAAUCGUGGUCCUUGAGAUAUGUGAGUGCAAGCACUUCCUUCAUUUUAGCACAGUGCAACUCAGAUGGGCCCCCUGACCGUUGAAAACAGGCAAGCACAGUGACGAUCGUAAGUGUUGCACCAUAAAUGUAGCUGAAAUGAGAGAACAACAGCAGCUCUCUCUUCUCGGCAUGCCAGUGACGUGACAUGUCACGAACCUGCGGUGCACAAAUAAGCCAGCAGUACCGAAACUUGUCAUAGAGCACUCUCUCUGUACGAAGGAAAACACAUGGUCAGUAUGGGAAAAGGCAAUGGGUAGUUCGCAUCUCGUCUAGUGCUAACCUCUUGUGCUGGAAUAGUGCACGGAUGGCACUUGAUAAAAAUGAGCUCACAUCCUGCACCUUGGAAUCUUUUUCUGCAUGUAUCAUCCAGUGACCUUUCUCAUUUUAUAUUUUGUGCAAAAGUAUAUAAUACUGCAAUGCCUAAAGGUUGUUGUACAAAGUAUGUCAAAUUUAUGAAUACAAUUGUUGCUAUAUUGAGGGUUGGAUGAAACUUUUUUGGUGGGGAAAGAGCCAGACCAGAGUUUUUCUUGCUGCAACCCUCUUCACUGAGGUCUGUAAUGAUGUUUCUAUAACAACACGAGAUGGGUGAUGAGAUGGGU